RNAcentral lists this long non-coding RNA (1685 nucleotides) under Heterocephalus glaber (naked mole-rat). Its description in RNAcentral is "lncRNA (ENSHGLG00000027768.2)". The record is from RNAcentral. Lineage: Eukaryota; Metazoa; Chordata; Mammalia; Rodentia; Bathyergidae.
GUGGGCGCCCAGAGGCCCAGCCGCACUGCCUCCGCGCCGGCUCCUAUUUCUUUAAAAUCAAAGCUUCGGGCCUACAAUUGCUGGGAUUGCAGCGCGGUAUUGAUCCGCAGCCGGCAUCAGGGCCCGCGGCCUCGCUGCCCAGCCCCCGCGGCCGGCCUGCGAAGCCCAGAGGCUGGGUUUCGGCACCGUGCACGCCGCCGCUGGUACCCGGCCACCCCUCCGGCCAGCGCGCGUGGGCUCCAGGCCCAGCCGACUAGGCCCCAUCUUCACUGGUUUUUUUCCUUCCUUCUUUUUUAAUUAGUGCAGGAAAAUAUACAUGGAAGCAAAAAAAAAAAAUCCGCCUCCCCCGCAGGCGCGGCCUUCUAAUGCACAGGGCCUGACAUCGACUUCCGCGCACGGAUCGAACCUUCGAUCGCGCCGAUUUGCAUAGCGGGCCCGCGCCCCGCCGCGCCCGACUCCACGCCGAGACCGCGCAGGCGAGGCCGGGCGCUCCCGGGCUCUGCCUUCCUCCCUCGGUGCCCGGGGGACCGGGCUGCUCACGGCCGCAGACGUGUGCGCGGGCGAGCGCGGAACGCGGCGGGAGACGAUCUCCGCCGGCACCGCGAAAGGAGCCGAGGGCGCCCAGGGCCCCGCCGCGGACCGCGCGGAGGACAGUGAAGAGAACGCACUCUCCUACCCUCAAAGAGGCGUCCAGGCGUACUUCCCUGAGUGUUCGUGGCUGAUACUGGUUCCGAACCUGUCUGGCCCUGAGCCUUUUCGUUUCUCCUGUUUUAUGCAGAUCACUCGAGCCACAGCAAAUUAUUGCUCAUUUGAUACCAAGAAUUCUAUUGACCACGGCUUUCGUUGGAGAGCGAAUUCUAACUACUGGCUGCUCUGUUGUCAGCUAGAGCUGAGGCUGGGAACCUUCCACAAGGCUGUGACGGCACACAGAGUCCUCUGCUCCAGGAAGUGCAGAGAUAACGCUGGUGUGUGUUGUCUGCCUGCACCCAAAGCGAUGGUGUUCCUGGAAUGCAAGCACCGCCCGCCAUGCUUGGAGCAUCCUGCCGCAGAGAGAACACUUUCUCCUGGUCUCAGCCCAGACUGACAGCCUGGGGGCCUCGUAGGACACUCGGCCAGAUGACACACACACAAGGGCACCCAGAACCUGUGUCGUGGGCUCCCGGGCAGCUGUGGAUCCAGGAGGCAGGCUGAGCAAGCCAGCAACACUCGCUGCCACUUGUCCAGAAAGCAAGAAAGCGGCAAUAUCCUCAGUGUUAUUUAAGGGAAAAAGACUGGGACCUGCACUGGAGUUUAAAAGUUAGGGGCGGGCUGCUCCCCAGCAUUUCUUUGGAAGGAGGCAGAACUGAGAGCUAUGCAGCUGGCUUGGCGCUUCAGCCCAUAGGAGAGGAGGAAAUUCUCCUCCUCCUCGCUGCACCUUGGAGCAGGUCCUCUGGCAGAGCUCUCGGCUCCCCAGCACCCCGUCAGCCUCCUGCCUCUCCUGCCAGGCCAAUGGAACCAGCAGAACUCGAUAGUAAAUUAUUUUGUUCAGCCCUCUGUCUUUUUAUGAAAAUAAAAGCCAACACUUUGUCAUUUUUAAUCACGUAAGCAGACAAUAAAUCCAAUUUCGAUAUUGAUUUUUUUUUCCAGAAUCAAGUGAUUUUUUGCAGUGUCUGUUGUGUUUCCUUUUGCGAAAAAGAGCCGCUGGC